GACGAACGCUGGCGGCGUGCCUAAUACAUGCAAGUAGAACGCACAGUUUAUACCGUAGCUUGCUACACCAUAAACUGUGAGUUGCGAACGGGUGAGUAACGCGUAGGUAACCUGCCUGGUAGCGGGGGAUAACUAUUGGAAACGAUAGCUAAUACCGCAUAAUAUUAAUUAUUGCAUGAUAAUUGAUUGAAAGAUGCAAUUGCAUCACUACCAGAUGGACCUGCGUUGUAUUAGCUAGUAGGUGAGGUAACGGCUCACCUAGGCGACGAUACAUAGCCGACCUGAGAGGGUGAUCGGCCACACUGGGACUGAGACACGGCCCAGACUCCUACGGGAGGCAGCCGUAGGGCAUCUUCGGCAAUGGACGAAAGUCUGACCGAGCAACGCCGCGUGAGUGAAGAAGGUUUUCGGAUCGUAAAGCUCUGUUGUAAGAGAAGAACGGGUGUGAGAGUGGAAAGUUCACACUGUGACGGUAUCUUACCAGAAAGGGACGGCUAACUACGUG
Molecule: ribosomal RNA, 505 nt
Filed under: uncultured bacterium
Lineage: Bacteria
Description: partial 16S ribosomal RNA
Rfam family: Bacterial small subunit ribosomal RNA
Source: RNAcentral